RNAcentral lists this ribosomal RNA (419 nucleotides) under bacterium. RNAcentral's name for it is "partial 16S ribosomal RNA". It matches the Rfam family "Bacterial small subunit ribosomal RNA", at positions 355 to 776 of the family's 1533-position model. The record is from RNAcentral.
UGGGGGAUAUUGCACAAUGGGCGCAAGCCUGAUGCAGCGACGCCGCGUGGGGGAUGAAGGCCUUCGGGUUGUAAACUUCUUUUGCUCUGAACAAGGCGCACUUUGGGGUGUGUUGAGUGUAGGGGUUGAUUAGCGCCGGCUAACUACGUGCCAGCAGCCGCGGUAAUACGUAGGGCGCGAGCGUUGUCCGGAAUUAUUGGGAGUAAAGGGCUUGUAGGUGGCUGGUUGCGUCUGUCGUGAAAGCUCAUGGCUUAACUGUGGGUUUGCGGUGGGUACGGGCUGGCUUGAGUGCAGUAGGGGAGGCUGGAAUUCCUGGUGUAGCGGUGGAAUGCGCAGAUAUCAGGAGGAAUACCGGUGGCGAAGGCGGGUCUCUGGGCUGUUACUGACACUGAGGAGCGAAAGCAUGGGGAGCGAACAGG